RNAcentral lists this ribosomal RNA (1096 nucleotides) under uncultured bacterium. Its description in RNAcentral is "bacterial SSU rRNA". It matches the Rfam family "Bacterial small subunit ribosomal RNA", at positions 67 to 1207 of the family's 1533-position model. The record is from RNAcentral.
CGAAGUAGCAAUACUUAGUGGCAGACGGGUGAGUAACAUGUAGGUAUCUGCCCUUUGGCCUGGAAUAACACGAGGAAACUUGUGCUAAUACCGGAUAAGUCUUUACGGAGAAAGCUUUAUGCACCAUUGGAUGAGCCUGCACUUGAUUAGUUUGUUGGUGGGGUAAUGGCCUACCAAGACUGUGAUCAAUAGCUGAUUUGAGAGGAUGAUCAGCCACAUUGGGACUGAGACACGGCCCAAACUCCUACGGGAGGCAGCAGUGGGGAAUCUUGCACAAUGGAGGAAACUCUGAUGCAGCGAUGCCGCGUGAGUGAAGAAGGCCCUUGGGUUGUAAAGCUCUUUCGUCGGGGAAGAAAAUGACUGUACCCGAAUAAGAAGGUCCGGCUAACUUCGUGCCAGCAGCCGCGGUAAUACGAAGGGACCUAGCGUAGUUCGGAAUUACUGGGCUUAAAGAGUUCGUAGGUGGUUGAAAAAGUUAGUGGUGAAAUCCCAGAGCUUAACUCUGGAACUGCCAUUAAAACUUUUCAGCUAGAGUAUGAUAGAGGAAAGCAGAAUUUCUAGUGUAGAGGUGAAAUUCGUAGAUAUUAGAAAGAAUACCAAUUGCGAAGGCAGCUUUCUGGAUCAUUACUGACACUGAGGAACGAAAGCAUGGGUAGCGAAGAGGAUUAGAUACCCUCGUAGUCCAUGCCGUAAACGAUGUGUGUUAGACGUUGGAAAUUUAUUUUCAGUGUCGCAGGGAAACCGAUAAACACACCGCCUGGGGAGUACGACCGCAAGGUUAAAACUCAAAUGAAUUGACGGGGACCCGCACAAGUAGUGGAGCAUGUGGUUUAAUUCGAAGAUACGCGCAGAACCUUACCAACACUUGACAUGUUCGUCGCGACUCUAAGAGAUUAGAGUUUUCGGUUCGGCCGGACGAAACACAGGUGCUGCAUGGCUGUCGUCAGCUCGUGUCGUGAGAUGUUGGGUUAAGUCCCGCAACGAGCGCAACCCUCACUUUUAGUUGCCAUCAUUAAGUUGGGCACUCUGAAAGAACUGCCAGUGAUAAGCUGGAGGAAAGGUGGGGAUGACGUCAAGUCCUCAUGGGCCCUUACGU